RNAcentral lists this non-coding RNA (45 nucleotides) under Echinostoma caproni. The record is from RNAcentral. Lineage: Eukaryota; Metazoa; Platyhelminthes; Trematoda; Plagiorchiida; Echinostomatidae.
GCACUGCUGUUGAGUCCUAAACAGGACGAAACAGCUGUCCAGUGC